Molecule: unclassified non-coding RNA, 439 nt
Filed under: Hevea brasiliensis (rubber tree)
Lineage: Eukaryota; Viridiplantae; Streptophyta; Magnoliopsida; Malpighiales; Euphorbiaceae
Source: RNAcentral
UCUCUUAAGUUCUUGAUCUAUGGCAGGACUGGAUGGAUCGGGGGUCUACUUGGGAAGUUGUGUGAGAAACAAGGGAUUCCCUAUGAAUAUGGAAGGGGACGCUUGGAAGAUCGAUCAUCGCUUUUGUCAGAUAUUCAGAAUGUUAGGCCAACUCAUGUUUUUAAUGCUGCUGGGGUUACUGGUAGACCUAAUGUUGAUUGGUGCGAAUCUCACAAGACAGAAACAAUUCGCACCAAUGUGGCUGGAACCUUAACAUUAGCAGAUGUUUGCAGAGAGCAUAACAUCCUGAUGGUGAAUUAUGCUACUGGCUGUAUAUUUGAGUAUGAUGCUACUCAUCCAGAGCAUUCUGGCAUUGGGUUUACUGAGGAAGACACACCCAAUUUCACUGGUUCUUUUUAUUCAAAGACCAAGGCUAUGGUGGAGGAGCUCUUGAAAGAAU